RNAcentral lists this ribosomal RNA (693 nucleotides) under uncultured bacterium. RNAcentral describes it as "bacterial SSU rRNA". It matches the Rfam family "Bacterial small subunit ribosomal RNA", at positions 111 to 791 of the family's 1533-position model. The record is from RNAcentral.
UAACACGUAGGGAACCNGCCUGCAUGAGCGGGAGAACUUCUGGAAACGGAAGCUGAUACCGGAUGAGCAAAGAGGAGGCAUCUUCUUUUUGGAAAAGGGGACAAGAGUCCCGCAUGCAGAUGGACCUGCGGUGCAUUAGCUGGUUGGAGAGGUAACGGCUCACCAAGGCGACGAUGCAUAGCCGGCCUGAGAGGGCGGACGGCCACACUGGGACUGAGACACGGCCCAGACUCCUGCGGGAGGCAGCAGUAGGGAAUUUUCGUCAAUGGGGGGAACCCUGAACGAGCAAUGCCGCGUGAGCGAGGAAGGUCUUCGGAUCGUAAAGCUCUGUUGCCGGGGACAAAAGGCAGAAAGAGUGGAAAGCUUUCUGAGUGAUGGUACCCGGCGAGGAAGUCACGGCUAACUACGUGCCAGCAGCCGCGGUAAUACGUAGGUGGCGAGCGUUAUCCGGAAUGAUUGGGCGUAAAGGGUGCGCAGGCGGCCGGGCAAGUCCGCAGUAAAAACUGGAGGCUCAACCUUCAGGGGCUGCGGAAACUGUCCGGCUGGAGAGCAGGAGAGGACGGUGGAACUCCAUGUGUAGCGGUAAAAUGCGUAGAUAUAUGGAAGAACACCGGUGGCGAAGGCGGCCGUCUGGCCUGCAUCUGACGCUGAGGCACGAAAGCGUGGGGAGCAAAUAGGAUUAGAUACCCUAGU